GAAUUAAAUUUUCUUUAUUUUGCAAUAAAAAUAAAAGUAGGUCUGUUCGACCUUUAAAAAUUUACAUGAUUUGAGUUCAAACCGGCGUAAGCCAGGUUGGUUUCUAUCUUUUUUAAAUAUUUUCCAGUACGAAAGGACAAAAAAUAUUAUUUUUAAUAAUUUUUUUAUUGGCAGAAAAAUGCAUUAGAAUUAGAAUCUAAUCAUACUAUCAAUUACCCUAAUUAAUUGCAUUUUUCCUAUAAUUAGAAUUCUAAUUAGAGUAGCUUUUUACACAAUCAUAGAACGAAAAAUCUUAGGUUAUAUUCAAAUUCGUAAAGG
Molecule: ribosomal RNA, 318 nt
Filed under: Argyrodes sp. The_690
Lineage: Eukaryota; Metazoa; Arthropoda; Arachnida; Araneae; Theridiidae
Description: partial large subunit ribosomal RNA
Rfam family: Archaeal large subunit ribosomal RNA (bases 1-109)
Source: RNAcentral